GCACAAGCGGUGGAUGAUGUGGUUUAAUUCGAUGCAACGCGAAAACCUUACCCACCUUUGACAUGUACGGAAUCCUUUAGAGAUAGAGGAGUGCUCGAAAGAGAACCGUAACACAGGUGCUGCAUGGCUGUCGUCAGCUCGUGUCGUGAGAUGUUGGGUUAAGUCCCGCAACGAGCGCAACCCUUGUCAUUAGUUGCUACAUUCAGUUGGGCACUCUAAUGAGACUGCCGGUGACAAACCGGAGGAAGGUGGGGAUGACGUCAAGUCCUCAUGGCCCUUAUAGGUGGGGCUACACACGUCAUACAAUGGAUGGUACAAAGGGUCGCCAACCCGCGAGGGGGAGCCAAUCCCAUAAAACCAUUCGUAGUCCGGAUCGCAGUCUGCAACUCGACUGCGUGAAGUCGGAAUCGCUAGUAAUCGUGGAUCAGAAUGUCACGGUGAAUACGUUCCCGGGUCUU
RNAcentral lists this ribosomal RNA (458 nucleotides) under uncultured Acidovorax sp. RNAcentral's name for it is "bacterial SSU rRNA". It matches the Rfam family "Bacterial small subunit ribosomal RNA", at positions 923 to 1382 of the family's 1533-position model. The record is from RNAcentral. Lineage: Bacteria; Pseudomonadati; Pseudomonadota; Betaproteobacteria; Burkholderiales; Comamonadaceae.